RNAcentral lists this long non-coding RNA (277 nucleotides) under Lathyrus oleraceus (garden pea). RNAcentral describes it as "Pisum sativum (pea) long non-coding RNA (PSAT_LNC019147)". The record is from RNAcentral. Lineage: Eukaryota; Viridiplantae; Streptophyta; Magnoliopsida; Fabales; Fabaceae.
AACUAGAUUCUAACGUAAGGUUAGAUCCGGUAAAAAGGUGUACAAUAGUUUCCGGUGUAGAAACUAUUGUACGAAAAGAAUUAACUAAAUGCUAAAAGGAAAAAGGAAAAUAGAAAUUGCAAAAGAGAUAAAGUAGAACUCGUAAAAAUAAUAAAGAAACAAUGCCUAAGCUGCUGGAAAAAUAAAAUAUGCAAAAGCGAAAACGGCAAAGGAAAAAUGUGGAAAAGCUUCGGAACCCCCUUUGGUUUUUGCAAGUGGCUAUUUAUAUAUGUUUGAG